RNAcentral lists this long non-coding RNA (204 nucleotides) under Lupinus angustifolius (narrow-leaved blue lupine). RNAcentral describes it as "long non-coding RNA (LANG_LNC001636)". The record is from RNAcentral. Lineage: Eukaryota; Viridiplantae; Streptophyta; Magnoliopsida; Fabales; Fabaceae.
UUAUUUGUUCCAACAUCGUUUAUCUGUUUGAAUAAAAAAUGAAAAAAAAGAAGAUUAUGAACACAAAUAAAGAAACUGGAUUCUGCAUGAUACAAGGAAUCCUAAGAUGUUUUGCUGCUUCAGUAAAGAAUAGAAAACUCAAAUUUAAGUGAAGAGAUAGAAAACUUGUUAGUAAAGUCAAUUAGCAUAACUCUUCAAGGCAAG